AGUUUCAUAAUGCUCCAACAGUCAAGCAACUGGACAUAUGGAUACAUCCUCAUGCAAUACAGGAUGGCAGUGAUACAUAAUGCCUAGUACAUGCAAAUCUCCAACUUGAAAGGAAUUCAAAAAGGUGACGUUAUUUUGAAGCCUGGAGAACACUAAUUAACUAACACAAAGAAAUGGUGGCAUCUUCAGUUGCUAGACAACAAACUUCAAAUCAUCAAGAGCU
Long non-coding RNA from Lonchura striata (white-rumped munia), 223 nucleotides. RefSeq lists it as uncharacterized. Lineage: Eukaryota; Metazoa; Chordata; Aves; Passeriformes; Estrildidae. The record is from RefSeq and is a predicted model, not a curated record.